AGCUGCUGUUGCAGGUUAUUUCACUUUUUAAGUUUAAAGAAUCCUGAGGAUCCACUCUUUUUGAUGACCUCUCUUUCCCCUUUUUGUCCUUUUACCAGUUGCCACCCCUUACCACGUUCACACAGAAAUAAUUCAUCUUAACAAAAAUUCAGUUCCUCUUGCUGAAUAUGAUUGCCCUUAUGAUAAAUACAGAAGCGGGGUGCAGGCAGAUUCAAGACCUGGAGCUCUCGUCUGUGGAGGUGGAUCCCUGUGGAGACGCUCAGGCUGCUGCGGAGGGAGCGGUGCUCGGUCUCUAUGAAUACGAUGACCUAAAGCAAAAAAAGAAGAUGGCCGUGUCGGCGAAGCUCUAUGGAAGUGGGGAUCAGGAGGCCUGGCAGAAAGGAGUCCUGUUUGCUUCUGGGCAGAACUUGGCACGCCAAUUGAUGGAGACGCCAG
This 435-nucleotide small RNA is filed under the name Pan troglodytes (chimpanzee). RNAcentral's name for it is "processed transcript". Lineage: Eukaryota; Metazoa; Chordata; Mammalia; Primates; Hominidae. The record is from RNAcentral.